AUGUUCAUGUUUCCUACAGUAAAAGUUUCUGGUGAUAUCACAGAGAGUCUUGUGUGUUCAUUCAGGAGCGGCUGUGGUGAGCUGACACUAAGCCAAGAAUACGGACACCAUCCCGCUGUAGCGGUGAGGUGUAACAUGCAAGUGGAGGAUGAAGAGCUCUUGGGCGCCGGAGGAGGAAGGUCGGAAAGGGCCACUCCCGAGACGGACGCUGAGUUCCACCAGCUGGCGGCCCUGGCGUCAUCCACCGCUUAUGCCCAGCCAAAUGGGGUAACCCAGAGGCGCGGAGUGGUGCGGGGAGACAGCACCGGAGGAGAGGAAGGUUCACCUUCCCCAGGCCCACAAAGGAUGGUGUUUCUGGAGGAGAGGAUGUCGGCGAUGGAGACCACCCUGGCAGUGAUGUCGAGGGCGAUGGAGCGCCUGGCGGUUUUGGCGGAGCCGGAGCGAGGAAGGGAACUCCGGGCUAGCUCAAUGUGGGACGUGAGCAUGGGAAGCAGCCAGGGCUUUGCAGACCUCCCAGCACCGAAGGGAAGGGAAAUGCGAAAGGAGCCCGGUGCCCGGCCCAAGAUCCAAACGAGCCUGACGCGGGUGGAGGAGAGUGACGACGAAGGGGAAAAGCCUCCGAGAAUCCCGGCUACGCUCCCAACUGAGACCCUGGUGCCCCUGGCGAAUGCCGGGCGUGGCACAGGACAAAGGGAAGCAGCAGCGGGGCCCACUGGCCCGCGAGGGGGCUUGCGACGGGCGGAGGAUUGGGGAUUGCCACCACAGGGACCCCUACCGAGACGAGAGGAACUAAGGAUCGAGUUUGGGGGAGAGUCCUCUGAACUGGAUUUUUUCCUGACCACGGUGAGGGGCUAUAUGGAGGACAAUGCCCACACUUUCAGAACGGAAUCCAGCCGGGUACGGGCCAUUGGUGCAGUGUUGAAGAGGGGAGCGGCCAGCUGGUACGUUCAACUACACGCGCGGCGCGACCCAUGUCUGGGGUCACUCCGACGCUUUAUGGGGGCCCUGGAGACCCGUUUCCGAGAUCCACUGGAGCAGAUCCGGGCGAGGGAGGAGUUGAAGACCGUCUCCCAGGGGCAGAGGUCGGUAUCUGAGUAUGCGGAGGAGUUCCAAUGCCUCGCUGAAAAGGUGCCGGAAUGGUCUGCAGUGACAAAGAUAGAACUCUUCAAAGAGGGUCUCAGGCGGGAGAUCCUCUCCUGGGCGGUGCAUCGUGAUGAGCCUGACACACUGCGCGGAUGGAUCAGCUGGCGA
RNAcentral lists this long non-coding RNA (1251 nucleotides) under Anolis carolinensis (green anole). Its description in RNAcentral is "lncRNA (ENSACAG00000028255.2)". The record is from RNAcentral. Lineage: Eukaryota; Metazoa; Chordata; Lepidosauria; Squamata; Anolidae.